Molecule: ribosomal RNA, 625 nt
Filed under: uncultured bacterium
Lineage: Bacteria
Description: bacterial SSU rRNA
Rfam family: Bacterial small subunit ribosomal RNA
Source: RNAcentral
CUGCGGUGCAUUAGCUAGUUGGUAAGGUAACGGCUUACCAAGGCGAUGAUGCAUAGCCGAGUUGAGAGACUGAUCGGCCACAAUGGAACUGAGACACGGUCCAUACUCCUACGGGAGGCAGCAGUAGGGAAUCUUCCACAAUGGGCGCAAGCCUGAUGGAGCAACACCGCGUGAGUGAAGAAGGGUUUCGGCUCGUAAAGCUCUGUUGUUGGAGAAGAACGUGCGUGAGAGUAACUGUUCACGCAGUGACGGUAUCCAACCAGAAAGUCACGGCUAACUACGUGCCAGCAGCCGCGGUAAUACGUAGGUGGCAAGCGUUAUCCGGAUUUAUUGGGCGUAAAGCGAGCGCAGGCGGUUGCUUAGGUCUGAUGUGAAAGCCUUCGGCUUAACCGAAGAAGUGCAUCGGAAACCGGGCGACUUGAGUGCAGAAGAGGACAGUGGAACUCCAUGUGUAGCGGUGGAAUGCGUAGAUAUAUGGAAGAACACCAGUGGCGAAGGCGGCUGUCUGGUCUGCAACUGACGCUGAGGCUCGAAAGCAUGGGUAGCGAACAGGAUUAGAUACCCUGGUAGUCCAUGCCGUAAACGAUGAGUGCUAGGUGUUGGAGGGUUUCCGCCCUUCAGUGCC